RNAcentral lists this ribosomal RNA (479 nucleotides) under uncultured bacterium. Its description in RNAcentral is "partial 16S ribosomal RNA". It matches the Rfam family "Bacterial small subunit ribosomal RNA", at positions 28 to 507 of the family's 1533-position model. The record is from RNAcentral.
GAUGAACGCUGGCGGCGUGCUUAACACAUGCAAGUCGAGCGAGAAGUUUUGAAUAGAUUCUUCGAAUGAAAUUUAAAAUGGAAAGCGGCGGACGGGAGAGUAACGCGUAGGCAACCUGCCCCAUACAAAGGGAUAGCAUAUGGAGACGAAUAUUAAUACCUUAUGAAACUUAACUAGUGCAUGCUAGGUAGGUCAAAGAUUUAUCGGUCUGGGAUGGGCCUGCGUCUGAUUAGCUCGUUGGUGAGGUAACGGCUCACCAAGGCGACGAUCAGUAGCCCGCCUGGGAGGGUGGACCGGCAAAUUGGGAACUGGGCACCGGCCAAAACCCCUACGGGAGGCAGCGGGGGGGAAAUUGGCAAAAGGGGGGAAACCUUAAGGAACCACGGCGGGUGAAGGGAUGACGGCUUUCGGUCGGAAAAUCCCGGUCUACAGGGUGAAUAAUGACGGUACCUGAGGAGAAAGCCACGGCUAACUACGUG